UGCAAGUCGAACGGUAACGCGGGGCAACCUGGCGACGAGUGGCGAACGGGUGAGUAAUACAUCGGAACGUGCCCAGUAGUGGGGGAUAGCCCGGCGGAAGCCGGAUUAAUACCGCAUACGACCUACGGGUGAAAGCGGGGGAGCGCAAGACCUCGCGCUAUUGGAGCGGCCGGUGUCAGAUUAGCUAGUUGGUGGGGUAAAAGCCUACCAAGGCGACGAUCUGUAGCUGGUCUGAGAGGACGACCAGCCACACUGGGACUGAGACACGGCCCAGACUCCUACGGGAGGCAGCAGUGGGGAAUUUUGGACAAUGGGGGCAACCCUGAUCCAGCCAUGCCGCGUGCGGGAAGAAGGCCUUCGGGUUGUAAACCGCUUUUGUCAGGGAAGAAACGGUCUGCGCUAAUACCGCGGACUAAUGACGGUACCUGAAGAAUAAGCACCGGCUAACUACGUGCCAGCAGCCGCGGUAAUACGUAGGGUGCAAGCGUUAAUCGGAAUUACUGGGCGUAAAGCGUGCGCAGGCGGCUUUGCAAGACAGAUGUGAAAUCCCCGGGCUCAACCUGGGAACUGCAUUUGUGACUGCAUGGCUAGAGUGCGGCAGAGGGGGAUGGAAUUCCGCGUGUAGCAGUGAAAUGCGUAGAUAUGCGGAGGAACACCGAUGGCGAAGGCAAUCCCCUGGGCCUGCACUGACGCUCAUGCACGAAAGCGUGGGGAGCAAACAGGAUUAGAUACCUUGGUAGUCCACGCCCUAAACGAUGUCAACUGGUUGUUGGACGGCUUGCUGUUCAGUAACGAAGCUAACGCGUGAAGUUGACCGCCUGGGGAGUACGGCCGCAAGGUUGAAACUCAAAGGAAUUGACGGGGACCCACACAAGCGGUGGAUGAUGUGGUUUAAUUCGAUGCAACGCGAAAAACCUUACCUACCCUUGACAUGCCAGGAACUUGCCAGAGAUGGCUUGGUGCUCGAAAGAGAACCUGGACACAGGUGCUGCAUGGCCGUCGUCAGCUCGUGUCGUGAGAUGUUGGGUUAAGUCCCGCAACGAGCGCAACCCUUAUCAUUAGUUGCUACGCAAGGGCACUCUAAUGAGACUGCCGGUGACAAACCGGAGGAAGGUGGGGAUGACGUCAGGUCAUCAUGGCCCUUAUGGGUAGGGCUACACACGUCAUACAAUGGCCGGUACAGAGGGCUGCCAACCCGCGAGGGGGAGCUAAUCUCAGAAAACCGGUCGUAGUCCGGAUCGCAGUCUGCAACUCGACUGCGUGAAGUCGGAAUCGCUAGUAAUCGCGGAUCAGCUUGCCGCGGUGAAUACGUUCCCGGGUCUUGUACACACCGCCCGUCACACCAUGGGAGCGGGUUCUGCCAGAAGUAGUUAGCCUAA
This 1379-nucleotide ribosomal RNA is filed under the name metagenome. RNAcentral's name for it is "bacterial SSU rRNA". It matches the Rfam family "Bacterial small subunit ribosomal RNA". The record is from RNAcentral.